AUUGAUCCCAGGGGCACUCUAUCGCUGAGCCGCAAGCCCAGCCCCUCCCCAGCCCCCAGCCCCCCCACCGUUUUUAAUAUUUUAUAUGGAGACAAGUUCUCACUGAGUUGCUUAGGGCUUCACUAGGUUUCUGAGCCUGAUGAACUCGCCAUCCUGCCUCAGGAUCCCAAGCCACUGGAAUUACAGGUGGAUGCCACCUGACCUGUCUCUGAAGUUGUCUUUAUAGGAAAGAGCUGGGGGAGAAGUAACUAUGCAAGAACAGGGUGACUUGUGAGAAAGUUGAGCUAGGAGCUAGCACAGAACUGGGGGGAGGAGGGCGGAACUGGGGGCAGAUGUGGCUGAGGAGAUGCUGAUUACAGCGAAUAGGCAGAGCUGUGGCUAAGAAUUGGGGAAGUUGCUGAAUGCUCAAGCACUCUGUAAGGAGCUGGUGCAGAGAUGCAGGCAGAUCUUUGGAGAAAGCUGGGGAAAGACCUAGUGCUGCACCAGGGAGGGGGGACCUAUGGUCAAGUUGGGGGAGGAGCCCACAGAGCUGUGGGAGGAGCUGCCAGAUGCACAGGGCAGAAGUGAGGAGGAAGCUUAGGGUUUCUGUGCUGCACUCUUAGUCAAGAGGGGAAAAUGGCCAAACCAGGGUCCUCAUGGACCUAACCGAACCCUGAGUGUGUACUUUAGGGUGCACUCCAGAGGAGUAGCAGCUGGGAGUUCAGGGCUGAGGCUUGCACCACAGGGAUGAACCCCCCACAGCUUUCCUUUCCCCUAGAUGCAUUUUGGUUCCUGCCAGUGAGGCUGGGAAUAACCGUCUUUUGUUUUGAAGGGAGCUGAAUAGCACCACCCUAUGUGCUGCUGCCCCUCAGACCUAAGUUGCCAAAACCACCUCCCAACUUCCGUGCCAACCUGGCUUUUCGUCUUUCACACCACAACCUUCCCUCAGGAUCACCAUGCUUCCUUACACUGUCCUGCCUAGUGACUGGAGAGCCAAGUUCUAGGUCCCUGCCUCUACCUUACAUGUAAGAAGACAGAUUCCUCUUCCUUUGUUCCCUUUGCUACUUGCUGAGGUCAGGCCACAUUCUCUGGUGUCUGUGCUAUCCCCUGAUUUUCCUGACUGGCCUAGAGUCCUGUGUUGCGUCUUUUCUGUUGGUCCUCCAUCAUACAGUACCCCUCACUCUCUACCUUGCAAAUCAGUCCCCUACUGAAAACCUGCCAAGCCUUCUCCUGUAGGGGUGCAGGCGCCUCAAGUUUCAGCCCGAGCUCUCUCCCCCCUUCUGGACUAACACUGGCCAGAGUCAAAGUGUGCUUUGGGGUACCUGGUCCCUGACCCAACCUGUUCCACAGGACUCCUUGCUUUGAAGCUAUGGUUCGUACAGAAUUGAAUGCCCAUCCCCUCUUAUCCUGACAACCUAUCCUCCAAGCACAACUUUCAAUUCACCUUCACUGUUGCACAAUCAAGUGUCCUAUUUCUGGUAGCCUUCCUUCUGGUAGACCCAUGCUCCAAGCAUUGGGUCCUUGUAACCCAGAGCUGCAACUGCUCUCCCGGAGUCUGUGGCCACAGCAGGAUCUCUAAGUUCCUGGAAGGCAAGGCUGCUUUUACUCCUUUCUGUAAUCUGGGUGCCGGGCAUAGUAGCUGCUUAGUAAACAUCAGAUGGACCAGAGGAGUGCUCUCUCCCAGUGAGAGGUACUUGUACUUUUCCUGGAGAAGCUCAAGAAAACAGGAAAGCUGGAGGUAAAGUGAGUGGGAGAGGGUACCUUGUUCACAUGAGGGAGGCCUUAGGGCUCAAGGAGCCUUAAAGUUCAUAUGGGACUCCCACCUAGGUUGGUGUCCCCUCCAGGCCUCUUUCCUCCACAAAUCGUUCCAGCCCCUGCCCAGCACCACGGCAUCUCCUCAGAGCUGUUUGGAAUGUAAGUGAGGGUCCCAUCAAUGUGUGCCGUUCCUGUUCUUAGGCCCUGUUGUUUGAUGAGCUGGAACUUGCCUAAGGAGCUGGAUUCUCAUAGCACAUGGCUGCUAGUGGGGGCCUCCAUGGGGACAUAAUGUAAGCGCUCCUGCUUCUGACUCCUGGGCUGUUCCUUGCUCUCGUGUAUGCUGAGAAGUGGGGUGCAGUUCACAGAUGAAUGCACCAUCUCCCUGGGCAUAAGAGUGCCCAGCAGAGGCCUGAUCUGCUGUCUGAUCAGGAGGUGAAGUCCCGGGGUAGCAGCUGCAAGUCCAGCUCUCUGCUGCAGCAGUGGGUGGGGCCUUGGAAGCAUCGCCUCAGUAGGUUUUGCGUGGGGAGGUCUUUGGCUGCCACAGGGAAAAGGACAAGGAUGCUUUUGCAUCUUGAUUUUCAUUACACAUAACAAGUCAGUGGCAGCCCUGAAAAUGGGCUGAUGUCUGACCUCCUGAUCACAUUCUCUUCACUAGCUGCUCCCUGUCUCCCCUCAUGGACCAAAUCCUGGUGGGGACUCACUCCCACCUUCUCUGGCCAUCACGGGUCAGGUGUGCCCUCCCCUCCCCAGACCCAUCUCACUUCUUCCUUCCACUGUGUUUUCCUUGCAGGGGCUCCAGAGCCUCCAGGCCAGCAGUAGCCUGCAGAUAUGUGGAACCCUUUGGGGUUCCUUCCUCUGCUCCUUCUCAGGCACCUUCUCCUUGUCUACUCCCCACUAACACUGAGCUUUGCUCAACUCCUGGGAUCAGGAUUGAGUCUCCUCCACCAGCUCUGCUUUCUUCUCCAGACCAAGCCUUCAGCACAGGAGCCUUUGAGGGCUAUUCCAGAUUCAAAGUAAAACAGACGCAGAUAGUAGAAGAGCCAAGUAUGACCUUUGUGUGUUUCUGUGAAUUUAUGGUGCCAAAACAUUAUUAGCAGCUUUUAAUUUAAUCAGACUAUACUUUUUUUUUUUUUUUUUAGUGUACUGGAUAUUUAACCCAGGGAUGCUCUACCAGUGACCUUCAUCCCCAGCCUUUUUUAUUUGUCAUUUUGAGACAAGGUCUCCCUAACGCUGGCCUUGGACUUGUGAUCAUCCUGCCUCAGCCUUGCAAGUAGCUUGGAUUACAGACAUGUAGCACCUUGCCUGGUCCUGACACACUUUAUUCUUUACUCUCCUAAUAGUUCAGUCUUUAUGCAAACAAGCACUGAGUCAUGUGCUGUGCCCUCCAAAGCUGGGGACGGUUGGAAUGUCAUGCCAUGGCCCUGUGACAAAUCCAGAUUAUUUGUUUACAUGAUUGGGGGGUGAUGCCAGAGGACAAGUUGUCAACUCCUCUCCAUGGUUACCAGGCUGGAAUUGUGGGAUCAGUGGGCUCUCUACAGAAGACCCAUUCUGCUGACAUGUGCCUCCACACUCAAUGUGGCAACUUUAGAAAGUACAGAAACGUCUAUGAGAAUCAGAAACAAAGAACGGUCCUGAGGUCAUUUCUGAGAGGCAGGAACAUUUAUUUUUCUUGCUUUUUCUUCUAUACAGUGUUUGGUUAUUCAGUUGAGCACAUGCUGUGUUGCAUUUUUCCUCCUACUUUUUUUUUUUUUUUAUUAUGGUAAGUGUUAGCCCAUAUUCUGAAAGGUUACUCAGGAAAUUGGCCCGAUAUGGCAGUAGCUCUGUAGCCCAUUGUGAAUUCCACCCCUCCAUGUUCAAGACCUCACAGCAGUCAAAUCCUCAGGGAAUGGAUCAUCCCACUUUGGAUCCAGCAACAUCCUCUGUUUAGAUAGGUAAGCACAGCAGUUCUUCCUGAGGCCACCUUUCCCAUGGAGCUUAUUGAGACUCCAGAUAUGAGUGUCCCAUGGGACACUGUGUGCAAGAGCCUUCUCUGGUUAUUCCCAUUUCCCUGCUGUUCAGUGACCCAGCACAUAGCCAUUGUUGCCUUCAGGCAGGGCUGGGGGAACAUCAUAGCAUCUACUUGCCAUGGUACCGCAGCUUCCUUCCUGGGGACCUGGCCACCAUGUUAUUCAAUGUGUUCCAGUUCUGGAAGCUGGACUGGGGCAGGAACUGAGCAGGCAAGGUGAGUGGUUUGUUGGCAUGGCUGCC
RNAcentral lists this long non-coding RNA (3981 nucleotides) under Marmota monax (woodchuck). The record is from RNAcentral. Lineage: Eukaryota; Metazoa; Chordata; Mammalia; Rodentia; Sciuridae.